GUGCUCCCUUCAGCAGCACAUAUACUAAAAUUGGAUGAUACAGAGGAGAUUAGCAGGGCCCCUGCACAAAAACUGUAUGCUCUAAGUUUUGAGACACAGUGAAUCAGC
Small nuclear RNA from Fukomys damarensis (Damara mole-rat), 108 nucleotides. NCBI's taxonomy places the organism in Eukaryota, Metazoa, Chordata, Mammalia, Rodentia, Bathyergidae. The record is from Ensembl.